UGCUAACGUCCAUCGUGAAAAGGGAAACAACCCAGACCGCCAGCUAAGGUCCCAAAAUCAUAAUUAAGUGGAUAUGGAUGUGGUAACUCUGAC
This 93-nucleotide ribosomal RNA is filed under the name Candidatus Palibaumannia cicadellinicola. Its description in RNAcentral is "Candidatus Baumannia cicadellinicola partial 23S ribosomal RNA". Lineage: Bacteria; Pseudomonadati; Pseudomonadota; Gammaproteobacteria. The record is from RNAcentral.